UCAUCUUCAUCUUCCUCGUCA
Molecule: microRNA, 21 nt
Filed under: Corchorus olitorius
Lineage: Eukaryota; Viridiplantae; Streptophyta; Magnoliopsida; Malvales; Malvaceae
Description: ath-miR4
Source: RNAcentral